Molecule: non-coding RNA, 213 nt
Organism: Leptonychotes weddellii (Weddell seal)
Lineage: Eukaryota; Metazoa; Chordata; Mammalia; Carnivora; Phocidae
Source: RefSeq, a predicted model, not a curated record
GGAGAUUGUCACAGAUGGGGAAGAGCCCGCCGAGAUGAUCCAGGUCCUGGGCCCCAAGCCAGCUCUGAAGGAGGGCAACCCCGAGGAAGACCUCACAGCUGACAGGACAAAUGCCCAGGCCGCGGCUCUGUAUAAGGUCUCUGAUGCCACCGGACAGAUGAACCUGACCAGGGUGGCCGACUCCAGUCCCUUUGCCCUUGAGCUGCUGCUGUC